Non-coding RNA from Notechis scutatus (mainland tiger snake), 2916 nucleotides. Lineage: Eukaryota; Metazoa; Chordata; Lepidosauria; Squamata; Elapidae. The record is from RefSeq and is a predicted model, not a curated record.
CAACAUUUCCUGGACGAUCGGGCAAAGAGGAAGAGACGACCCGUUUGUUUGGUCACUUCACCCACUUUUACUUCCGAUAUUCAGUAUUCAAUACCGAAUAUGACUGUUUGGAUAUGUCACCUGUGUCCUCUCCUGUGGGCAGCAACCGCGCUCUGUGUUGUGAAAGAUUGCAGUAAUCGUAUAUCCAUAGUUGGUGUUGAAAGAGAAGAUAUUGUUUUGGCACCAUCAGUUUCAGGCAAUGGCAGCCUAACAAGAAUUUAUUGGAAGAAAGGAGAAGAUAUAGUGGUUGGCUCCAGGUUCAGUAUUCCUUCUGAAAAGGAAAAACAAAGAUGGAGUUUUGAUGCUUCCUCUGGCAAUUUGUCUCUCAAAAACCUUUCAAAGGAGGAUACUGGAACUUACACAGCAAAAAUUUUCAUUAACGAGGAAAUGAAAGAAACCUGUUUUGAUCUGAAAAUACUAGUACGGCCUGAUAUAAAUUGCACUGUUAACAAUGAUACCAUUCAAUUAAACUGUACAUCAGCAAGUCAGGAUCUACCCCUGGCAUACUCCUGGGAUGUCAACGGAAAUGAAGAAAUAAUCUCUGAGAAGAAUUCGGUUAUUCAGCUUCAGAGGAACUCAAACCAUUUUCAGAAAAUUACAUGUUAUGUUGUAGCUUCCAAUUCAAACGCCAGCAAUUUCAUCAAUCUGAGUGAUUGUAUUAUACCGGUAGAAGUGAAGUAUCUGAAAACACGGAGAAAAAGAACCUUUAAUGAAUCAGAAUCUGCAGCAAAGAAUGCAAGAGGAAAUUAUAAGGAAGAGAGUUCUGAGUUGCCAGAAUAAGAAAGAAAGUCACUUACUAAAUCUGAAUUGGAGAGUAUGGGAAAAAGAGAAGAACGUGAAGAAACUUCUAGGCUUGAAUCUUGAAAGGAGACAGAGGUGAUUUUUUUUCAAGGAUGAAAGGUGACAACACAAAAGUACCUCUGCAGCCUCUGUUCAGUCCAAUUCAUACAUUACCUCAUUUUAUCAAUUUUGCUGAAUUGUAAUUGGUUUUAUGUUGCUUUUCAACUGUUUUUAUUUUAUUCAUAUCAUGUUCUAAUUUAUUAUGGAAUUUUAAAUAGCUAUGGACUGCUUUAUUUAUUUCAUGACCUCUUUUAUGAACCACUGUGAAAACAAACAAGAGACAGUAAGAAAAUGAACAAAAGAAAGAAGAGAUAUAGAAUAAACUCAGAAUUGUUGUCUCCUUCAAAACCAUUGAAUCAGCCUAAAAUUGCUGAAUAUUUAGCAACAAAAAGCAAGCAAGCAAACAAACAAAAAACACCAGUGGGUACAGUCAGUAAUAAAAUAAACCAAGAAGUUCCAAUGAUGUUUUUAAUUGGCUGUGAUGUUCUGGAAUGGGAUUUCAAAACUGAGACUGAGCACACCAGCAAGCUAGAUCUUUCUUCCUCUCUGGGAAGAAUCCUACCAACUGAAUGAUUUAACAGCAGAGCUUCACCCUGAGGUUGAUAAACCUCUUGCCACGCUCUUCAUAUUUUUCUAAAGCAGGUCAACUUGAAUAUUUAAGAAAGGAAUAAGUCCAUAACAAGACAAUGCCUUCUAACUGCACAGUCAUUUCUAUGUUUGAGCUAUUGUCAGUAAUAAAUAAAUAAUAACAUGAAUACUUUUUUUUUGGGGGGGGGGGAAUCUUUGAAAGAGCUAAUCAAAAUAAUUCAAACAAAUCAAAAUUGUACAUGGGAUGGAGCCAGGAGAUGGAAGAAUUCUGAUGUUAAGAAUUGGACAUGACAACCCCUGCCUGUUUCUUGGUUUCCAUGUAACUUUACAAAAGCCACCAUCCUUACCAUAUUUUUUCUGCCUAUUUUUAAUAGUCCUGAACAGUUCCUCACUCUUUUACACCAAUUUGUAUAUGAGGCUUUGAAGACCAAAUUCUUUUAUAUUUAACCUUUUCAUAUUUAAUGCCUCUUUCUAAUAUGUUUGCACUAAUAUUCAUAAAGAUGUGACUUUUUCAAGAAUUAUAAAGUAUGCCAGAAAUGAAACAUUUGUAUUAUUUUUUUUACUAAAGCUCAUAUGGUUUUUCAGAGAUAUAUGGGUUUUUUUAUUUUAUAAACAUUGCACUGGUUAGCACUGAUAGUUUUGAAAUUUAAAAUGUUUGUAAAGCUGGUUACUAGUUCUCAUAAUUAUGGGAAAAAUCUCAAAUCUAGGUUUCUGCUGCUCAGGUGCCAUGAUGAAUUGGACAGCAGUUACCUUUUUCCUCCACUGUAUUGCUACACUGUUCCCUACAGGAUGCACACUUCGCUCUCUAAAUGAUGCAUUGGCUUAUGGAUGCCAAGUGCCAAUUUGACAGGGCAGUGUACUGAUUUACUUUAUUAUCUUAGUCCUCCACCAGUUUAAAUGAUCACUCAUCUUUUGACUAUUGUUUAAUAAUUCAGUAGAAAAUGUUUGUCUUUCUUCACUUACUGUAUAGCUAUUGCAAUAAUUAAUUAUGGGUCUGAAGUCAAAAGGACAAGAGAACAGGUUUUUGCAUCUGUAAUGUGAAAGAACAGCCCAAAAUUGGAGUUAUUUCAAAGAGGAGAAAGAUGAGAUUAGACCUUUAAAAUCACUUCCAACAAUAUGAUUCCAUAAGAUAAAAAAGCAUGACAUAAGAAAGGGAGAUAUAGACAAAUCUCAUUAUAUGGCACCAUACCUCUCCAUAUUUUUGUGCAGGAAACAAUACAAAUAAAAGAAAAGGAAGGGAGAAAAAAUAAUUAAAGAAAUGACUUUCAAAUUUUAUUACAGCAGCUACAAUUAAAAUGGCACUUUGGGUUUUUAUUAAGGGAUGCUGGUGCUUGGAUAGUAAUCAAUACAGAAAUUCUAUAAAUCUCCCCUCCCCCCCCCUUAACUCUGGGAGUAUGAGUGAUAGAAAGAGUAGAGGAAUAAACAAGCGUGUUUGUGCAUACGUGCAUA